UACAGAGGGGGCAAGCGUUAUUCGGAAUUAUUGGGCGUAAAGGGCGCGUAGGCGGCUUGGCAAGUGGCAGGUGAAAUCCCUCGGCUUAACCGAGGAACUGCCCUCCAAACUGCUUUGCUUGAGGCCGGGAGAGGUGAGUGGAAUUCCCAGUGUAGCGGUGAAAUGCGUAGAUAUUGGGAGGAACACCAGUGGCGAAGGCGGCUCACUGGACCGGUUCUGACGCUGAGGCGCGAAAGCGUGGGGAGCAAACGGG
Molecule: ribosomal RNA, 253 nt
Filed under: uncultured bacterium
Lineage: Bacteria
Description: partial 16S ribosomal RNA
Rfam family: Bacterial small subunit ribosomal RNA
Source: RNAcentral